GUGCACCAGGCGAGAAUUUUUCUCAAUGGGGGCAACCCUGAAGGAGCGACGCCGCGUGGGGGAUGAAGGCUUUCGGGUUGUAAACUCCUGUCAUUUGAGAACAAGGGUAAGCAAAUAACUACUGCUUAUUUAAUAGUAUCAGAAGAGGAAGGGACGGCUAACUCUGUGCCAGCAGCCGCGGUAAUACAGAGGUCCCAAGCGUUGUUCGGAUUCAUUGGGCGUAAAGGGUGCGUAGGUGGCGCCGUAAGUGGGGUGUGAAAUUUCGGAGCUUAACUUCGAAACUGCAUUCCAUACUGCGGUGCUUGAGGACUGGAGAGGAGACUGGAAUUUACGGUGUAGCAGUGAAAUGCGUAGAGAUCGUAAGGAAGACCAGUGGCGAAGGCGGGUCUCUGGACAGUUCCUGACACUGAGGCACGAAGGCUAGGGGAGCAAACGGGAUUAGAUACCCGCGUAGU
This 455-nucleotide ribosomal RNA is filed under the name uncultured organism. Its description in RNAcentral is "bacterial SSU rRNA". It matches the Rfam family "Bacterial small subunit ribosomal RNA", at positions 346 to 794 of the family's 1533-position model. The record is from RNAcentral.